GACGAACGCUGGCGGCGUGCUUAACACAUGCAAGUCGAACGGAGCACCCUUGAAAGAGAUUUCGGUCAAUGGAGAGGAAUGCUUAGUGGCGGACUGGUGAGUAACGCGUGAGGAACCUGCCUUCCAGAGGGGGACAACAGUUGGAAACGACUGCUAAUACCGCAUAAUGUGUUGUGAUGGCAUCAUUGCAACACCAAAGAUUUAUCGCUGGAAGAUGGCCUCGCGUCUGAUUAGCUAGUAGGCGGGGUAACGGCCCACCUAGGCGACGAUCAGUAGCCGGACUGAGAGGUUGACCGGCCACAUUGGGACUGAGAUACGGCCCAG
This 324-nucleotide ribosomal RNA is filed under the name uncultured bacterium. Its description in RNAcentral is "bacterial SSU rRNA". It matches the Rfam family "Bacterial small subunit ribosomal RNA", at positions 28 to 334 of the family's 1533-position model. The record is from RNAcentral.